UGCAAGCCGAACGGUAAGUUUGAUAGCAAUAUUGAACCUAGAGUGGCGUAAGGGUGCGUAACACGUAUGCAAUCUACCCGCAACAGGAGGAUAGCUCCCCGAAAGGGGAAUUAACCCUCCAUGAGAUCACACGAGGGCAUCUGAGAGUGAUUAAAUCUGAGGAGGUUGUGGAUGAGCAUGCGACUGAUUAGCUAGUUGGCAGUGUAACGGACUACCAAGGCAAUGAUCAGUAGGGGAACUGAGAGGUUGAUCCCCCACACUGGCACUGAGAUACGGGCCAGACUCCUACGGGAGGCAGCAGUAGGGAAUAUUGGUCAAUGGGUGAGAGCCUGAACCAGCCAUGCCGCGUGCAGGAAGAAGGCCUUCUGGGUUGUAAACUGCUUUUGCCGGGGGAUAAAAGACCCUUGCGAGGGAAAUUGAAGGUACCUGGUGAAUAAGCCACGGCUAACUACGUGCCAGCAGCCGCGGUAAUACGUAGGUGGCAAGCGUUGUCCGGAUUUAUUGGGUUUAAAGGGUGCGUAGGCGGUUGAUUAAGUCAGUUGUGAAAUACGGCAGCUUAACUGUCGAGGUGCAAUUGAUACUGGUUGACUUGAGUACAGACGAGGUAGGCGGAAUUGACGGUGUAGCGGUGAAAUGCAUAGAUAUCGUCAAGAACACCGAUAGCGAAGGCAGCUUACUAGACUGUAACUGACGCUGAGGCACGAAAGUGUGGGGAUCAAACAGGAUUAGAUACCCUGGUAGUCCACACUGUAAACGAUGAUUACUCGAUGUUGGCGAUACACAGCCAGCGUCUUAGCAAAAGCGAUAAGUAAUCCACCUGGGG
RNAcentral lists this ribosomal RNA (823 nucleotides) under uncultured microorganism. Its description in RNAcentral is "bacterial SSU rRNA". It matches the Rfam family "Bacterial small subunit ribosomal RNA", at positions 56 to 878 of the family's 1533-position model. The record is from RNAcentral.